UACGAAGGGGGCUAGCGUUGUUCGGAAUUACUGGGCGUAAAGCGCGCGUAGGCGGUUUUGCAAGCCAGAGGUGAAAUGCCUGAGCUCAACUUAGGAAUUGCCUUUGGGACUGCGAGGCUUUGAGGACUGGAGAGGUGAGUGGAAUUCCCAGUGUAGAGGUGAAAUUCGUAGAUAUUGGGAAGAACACCAGUGGCGAAGGCGGCUCACUGGCCAGUUUCUGACGCUGCAGCGCGAAAGCGUGGGGAUCAAA
This 250-nucleotide ribosomal RNA is filed under the name uncultured Alphaproteobacteria bacterium. RNAcentral describes it as "partial 16S ribosomal RNA". It matches the Rfam family "Bacterial small subunit ribosomal RNA", at positions 524 to 772 of the family's 1533-position model. The record is from RNAcentral. Lineage: Bacteria; Pseudomonadati; Pseudomonadota; Alphaproteobacteria.